GGCGGCGUGCUGCUCAGCCCCUUGUUGCUGUACGCGCUGCUGGCGUUGCUGCUGACUGGCGUGGUGCGCCUGGCCUUGCAGCGGGUGGGCGCGGCGCGCUGGAUCUGGCACGAGGCGCUGUUCGACUGCGCUCUG
This 135-nucleotide small RNA is filed under the name Pseudomonas cuatrocienegasensis. RNAcentral's name for it is "Pseudomonas sRNA P18". It matches the Rfam family "Pseudomonas sRNA P18". The record is from RNAcentral. RNAcentral also lists the same sequence under 1 other name. Lineage: Bacteria; Pseudomonadati; Pseudomonadota; Gammaproteobacteria; Pseudomonadales; Pseudomonadaceae.